This 492-nucleotide ribosomal RNA is filed under the name uncultured bacterium. RNAcentral describes it as "partial 16S ribosomal RNA". It matches the Rfam family "Bacterial small subunit ribosomal RNA", at positions 29 to 507 of the family's 1533-position model. The record is from RNAcentral.
AGUGAACGCUGGCGGUAGGCCUAACACAUGCAAGUCGAACGGCAGCACAGUAGGAGCUUGCUCUUACGGGUGGCGAGUGGCGGACGGGUGAGGAAUACAUCGGAAUCUACUUUUUCGUGGGGGAUAACGUAGGGAAACUUACGCUAAUACCGCAUACGACCUACGGGUGAAAGCAGGGGAUCUUCGGACCUUGCGCGAUUGAAUGAGCCGAUGUCGGAUUAGCUAGUUGGCGGGGUAAAGGCCCACCAAGGCGACGAUCCGUAGCUGGUCUGAGAGGAUGAUCAGCCACACUGGAACUGAGACACGGUCAAGACUCCUACGGGAGGCAGCAGUGGGGAAUAUUGGACAAUGGGCGCAAGCCUGGUCCAGCCAUACCGCGUGGGUGAAGAAGCCCUUCGGGUUGUAAAGCCCUUUUGUUGGGAAAGAAAAGCAGCAGGUUAAUACCCCGCUGUUCUGACGGUACCCAAAGAAUAAGCACCGGCUAACUUCGUG